UAUGGCUGGGGAGGCCUCAGGAAACUUACAAUCAUGACAGAAGGAGAAGGGAAAGCAGACACAUCUUUUAUGGCCUGAGAAGGAAGAAGAGAAAGAAGGGUAUGAAAUAAUUUCCUAUUGAAGUCAUCUUAACAUGGAACCAGAAUUAAAUCCUAACAACAAUCAUGUGAGCCUGGGGAGGAUCCUUCCCCACGUGAGCCUUCAGGGGAGACUUCAGCCUUGGCCAUCUUCUACAUCUAGAUUCCUGACCAAGAGAAGCUUUGGAGUUUGCUGUUUCGCCCAGGCUGGAGUGAAGUGGCGAGAUCUCCCCUCACUGCAACCUCCGCCCCCGGGGUUCAAGUGAUUCUCCUGCCUCAGCCACCACCAUUUAACACUGAGAAGUGGGCAGUCACAGAGAAAAAGUUUAGAAUAGUUCACCAGUGAAGUCAUCUCAACCAGCACAGGGCCUUGACUCCUAACAACAAUCACACGAACUUGGAAGAGGAGCCUUCCCCAACUGAACCUUCGCUUGAGACCUCGUCCUUGGCCAUCCUCUACAUCUGGAUUCAUGAUACAGAGAAACUUGAGUAAUGAUGACACUAGCAGUCCAGCCUGCAUGGAUGCUGACAUGGAUGCUGUCUCCCAUUCUUACCACUGGAUGGGAAGAAAUGCUAGAUGCAAUCCAGCCAGUCUGUACUCGACUGUCAGUUCCAUCUUCUCAACUCACAGUGUCUUCCAAAGUCCGUGCCACACCACAGCCUGGAACAUCUCCCAAGGUUUCAAAUAAUUCAUCAGUGAAUUCUUCUCAACCUGGUCAAUCAUGUGAACUUAGAAGAUGAUUCCUCCCCAGCUGAUCCUCAGGUGAGACAUCAGCCUUGGCCAUCAUCUACAUCUGGAUUCCUGACCCAGAGAAACUGGAACACUAAGACCCAUUCUUCUUCUCAAGUAUCCAAAAAUAAAGUUGAUCCAAGCCUCUCUGGAUGGUGACUAUAACCUAUAGCCUUGCCCAAUAUGACUCAGGAUUUGGUACUGGCUGUGCCUUUCAUGGGAUGCUUACUUAUCCUGGUCGAUGGCCUAAAGCCCAACCGUCCAGCUUAUAUCCAGAUCCUUUGGCAUUUGAGAGUUGCUUUGUGUAUACGGUCCUUUAACGGAGCAAAUGGCCAGCCAGGAAACCAAAGUAUGGACAAGGGGAAAGAAGCGUCUGUGGAGGAAGUUUUACAAGCGCCCUCCUCAUCCAUUUGGGUGGUGUUGCCCAUAUGCUACAUGUCUGUGGACCACUAUGUGUGUUUAAAGCUUUUUAGUAAAACGUUACUAAAAACUAUGACUCACUGUGGUGAAAAAGGUGGCAAAACAGUGACAACAGUGAGUUUGCUGCUGUUAUUAUCUAUGUGAGUGGUCACGAAAGCACAGGUAGCAGCUGAGGCAAGGGGAGGGAAGCUAGGAAAAGAAUCGCAGUGAGAAAGGGAUGAGAACUUCCAUGUCUGUGUUAAUGUCUGGUUUUAUGAUAAACUUGAAACUCAAGAGGCACAGUUGGAAAUUGUACCUUGCCACUUUGUGUGGCUGAGAGAGAGAAAGCUGUGCCAGCUGAAUGUGUGGACUGUCUUUGCCAGUGCAGGCUGGGAUGCAAAUACCUGUAAUUCUUGGGAAACAACCAGUGAGCCAGAUGAUGACAUAGAGUUUAACUCAGAGGAGGAAGAUCAUUAUCCUUCCCAUUUGAGAGUGAAACUGUUCAUGCAGUGGAAAGCAAAAUUCCAACACACAGAGGCCUGGGUAGGAUUACUGGAUAUAAUAAAAACUUUAAAACAGCUGCCAAGAGAAAGCCUUAUGUACAUGAAUGGUGCAGCUAUGGGACACCAGUAGGGAUGAUAUCUCCCUAAAAGGGAAUGAACCUGAAAAAUUGAGACAGAAGUACCCCGGAAGUGAAAUAACCCCCUUAUGGGAUAAGUUAUAGGGAAAGCCAUUUCAGAUUUCCUAGAAACUCAAAAGGAAAGAGAUUAGGUAUGACUGGUUGCUAAAGGAAAAUGGAAAAAGGGAGAAACAAAGUCUGCUGGACUGAAAAAAGGAGUUUAAAAAAGACACAAUUAAGGUUACUAGGAAACAAAUGUGGUAUGAUCUGAUUUCAGCUGGGAUUGACAAAGAGAAUAUAGAUGGGCAACCCAGUGGCAUAUUAGUGGGGUAUGGAAAGACCUGACUCCUGAUCAAUAGUUUAGACACCUUCUUAUUACCUCCCCCACCCCCCAUGAGAAGAGGGAGAAAGACAGGAAGAAACCUUUGGUAAAAAUUCAGGGGUGCACUUCUUUCCAGCCUGGAGAUCAUAGGUAGGGUCAAGGCUGCUUCUGUGUAAGAGCAAUAGGGGGUGACCAGAGGCCGUAUUUGGAGCUCACUAUUGAUUGGAGUCUAAAACAGCACUAAGAGAACCUUAGCUUUAGUGGGCACAGGUGCAGAAUGUGUCUUAAUUGAUGGAAAUCCAGAGAGACACCCUGGUAAGUGGGAAGCUAUAGAUGGUUGUGAGGGGUUAAAAAUCUGAGAGAAACAAACUCCUCUCCUCCUUAGUUUUGUCUGGAGUUCCCUCUUUGCUUACUCUCCUGUCUUUAUCUCACCUAUUGCAGAAAACAUCUUGAAUAUGGAUGUCUUCUUAGGAUGCACUUUACAAACAUCUGUGGGGGAAUCUCACCUAUGACAAAGGCUGUAUUAAGAUUGGAGGCAAAAUUAGAAGGUGUACACCUCCCUCCCCCACAAUGUAUUGUUAAUGUGAGACAAUACCAUCUUCCUGGUAGAAUAUAAGAAGUCACAGCCGCCAUGGAGAAAUUGGCCAAAGUUAAUAUUAUCUGGCCAGCCCAGAGUCCUUUCAGCCAUCCUGUGUGACCAAUAAUAAAAUCUGAUGGCACUUGGAUAUGACAGUAGAUAAGUGGACACUACUGAUCUUUCUAAGAUACAUGCUCCUUUAUGUAAUGUAACUCAAGUGAUUGAGCAAUUAAUACAAAACAUAGGCACUUAUCAUGCUGUGUUAGAUUUAGCUAAUGCCUUCUUUAGCAUCCCUUUUACCCUGACUUGCAGUCAUUAUAUUGAUGAUACUCUAACUUCUGAAGACUUGUCAUUGCUACAGCAACACGGAGAUGCAUUGACACCCUUCUUCAAUCCAGAGGAUGGGCCAUCAACUCACAAAAGUACAAGGCCUGGAACCAGCUGCAAAGUUCCUAUGGAUCACUUGGCCAGAAACAGGUUCUAACUAUGUUGCCCAAGCUGGUCCUGAACCGCUAGCCUCAAAUAAUCCUCCUGCCUGAACCUACCAAAGCAUUGGUAUUACAAGUUUGACCCACCGUGAUCUGUCCAGAGUGGGAAAUAGAAUCUUAACAACUAUCACAUGAACUUUGAGGGUAUCCUUCUCCAGAUGAGCCUUCAGUUGAGACCUCAGCCUUGGACAUCAUCUGCACCUGGAUUCCUGACCCAGAGCAACUGCAUGCAUAUGUUAUCCCAGCUUCUGGGGAGGCUGACUUGGGAGGAUUGCUUGAGCCCAGGAGUUCCAAACUGAAGUGAGCCAUGAUUGUGUCACUGCACUCCAGCUUGGGAAACAGAGGGAGACCAAGACUCAAAAAAAAAAACUGGCCUCAGAAGGAAUUUUAUGGAACCUUGUAUUCUGUUGAAUACCAGAAUUAUAUCAGCAAUCCCAAAGUCACCAAAUGGGCAUCAUCAUGACAGCAGAUGAGGAUAACUGUUACGUGGUGUUAUUUGAGCAUUUGUGAUUGAAGAAAACUAACUUCUUUAAGCCCAUACUUUAUUACUUGAGACAUGACAGCUUCAUUUAAGGUUCCUAUUUUAAAACAUGGUGAGUGUUUCCAUUUAUUUCAUUUGAACUGGAGAUACUAUCUCACUUACGUAACUUGUCAAAUCCCUUUUUAUCUUCAUUUCAAUGCAUGUUUUCUAAUCUAUCAUGAUGAAGAGUGUGAAGAUUGUGCUUCACCAAACCAGGAAGCAAUUAAAAAAAAACUAGAAUGGCAAGCCAUAAGUUAGAUAUAAGUAGAUGCAUGUAAGGUGUAACCCAUCUCAAUGUGGCAUAUCAGGGAGAUGGAGACUGGAGAGAUGAGGUUUAAAAGAAAACAGGCACUAAAUUCAAAGCUGUGCUAAAUGAUGUCACAGGCACAGAUGACAUCGUGUGGUGCUCCAAGUUCCCAAACAACCUCUCUGACAGCACAAAAAUUAUGAUUUCCCAUAAUAUACUAAGCUACCAGGUUUCAGAGUGGCUGUCCUGGACACUACAAUUUUCAAAAACUAUCACUGCAAACAAGCCAAAUUCCUAGACCUCUUCAUGAGGCAAGUACCUAACACUCUUUCUCCAUCCACACUUUAGACUGAUUGGAAGUCAGAGUUCAAUGGAUGGAUGGCUCGUAUAAUUGAGAUCAUGAUUUCAUGUUCCCUUUAUUCAGUCUUCCUGAAAUGUUAAAUCUAGGUCAGGGAAACAUUCAUCUAAUUCAUUACAAUUCUGCUUCCUCCUCAACAGAUUUCUAGGACCAUCAUUUUUUAAAUUAUUUCUACAUACAUAAAAUAGGGAUUUCAGUACUCCACUAAAAGCUCUCCAUUUUUAAUAGUUAGCAGUCCAUGGAGGGCAGGUCUUUGCAAACCUACCACUAAAACAUGAGGAAGCUGAACAGCUGAAGAUAGAGGCUGAUAUAACCAGUCUCUUAGAAAGAAACAUUUAGUAGGGAUUUAUGAACAGAUAUUUGAGUCUCACACAGGACUUAUAUACCAUGGGGAAGGAAUGUGUAGGAAAACUGAAGUCUACCUGUCAGGGAAAGGCAGAAAUGCCAUGUGAAUCUAAGCACAGGAUUUAUAGUCAUGGUGGUUCUGACCUAAGGGCAGGAUUUAGAGAAAAAUAAUGAUUUUCACAAGGAACAGUAGACACAAUAGAAAUCUUAUCCCCCAGUGUGCAUAUAAAGGAAAAAAAUAUUUAUACAGAAAGCUUAGAGGCAGUCCCAGAACAGGGGUUAAUCAGAAGUCAACAUGGUGAAUUAGCUUUCAAGAUUGAGUUGUUUUUGCCUCCACUGCUAGCUAGAGGGUAAAUGGAGUUGAUCAGCUUAUGUGAAAGUAUAAGUCUAUUUCUUCAAUAAUAUACCAUAAUACAGAAGAUGAGGCACCCCUGUUUCCAUGUAGUCAUUGGCAGUCAGGGAGAAAAAUGCCAUAUUCCAUUCCUCUUAUGAUACACAUGUAACUGAGUGCAGGUCCAGCUGUUCUAUGCAUGCAAAAGCAAUGACAAAGAGGACGUGCAGGGUCAAAGGAAAGUGACUUUAUUUUUCAAAUUCAGCAGUAGGGAAAUGGCUGGAUUACACCUCUAUAGACCAGUUCAAAAUUUUGGGCAGAGGGCAGGGGUUUAAAGAAAGGGAAGCGUGACGCAUUACAUGGGAGGCAUGCAGGUGAUGUGCAGAUUCAGGGAGUCUGUGUCUUACUCGAGACAGACUGAUACCAUCUUGAUAGUUCCAGGCUGUAGAUAUCCAUCCUGAGGCAAUCUUUAAGAGAGAGACAAUUCCACAGCUGGGCCUUUAUGUUUGGUUCAUUUUAAAUUAGCCUCUGGUAUUUUUUGACAGGCAUAUAGUUAGAUAAGUAUGCAUGGUGUGAGUUUAGCCAGCAUACAGUUAGGUAAAUGUGUAUAAGGCAUGGACGUGUACAGUGGGAAACCGAAGGGGGUGUGGUUCCAAAGUAUAUUUCAUGGUUCUACUUGAAGACUAAAGCAAUGGCUUCUGCAGUUUGCUUCAAGGUUACAUCUUGAGACUGGGAAGAAAAAAAAGGAGAAAGAAAAAACUUAAAUGUAUUUUGAAGCUAUAUGACUCAAUUACAAUCCUUCACCAUAAAAGACCAUUCCAUUUCCAAGGAAAGUGGCAACACAGUCCAUCUAGCUUCUUCCUGCUGAAAAGGGGCACAGUUAGAGGGUAUCAGAUUGGAAUCUGUUUACCUGGAGUUGGAAAUAUUCGUGGGUUCCCAGACUAAUGUGAGAAUGUGUUAGAGCAUUAUAGUGUGGGGAACCAAAAGUUUCUGGGAAAGUUUUUCCUGCAUCUCCAUACAGAUCUUGAAAAGUGACAAAAACUACAGCAACCAAACAGAACAGGGAGCAGAAUACCAAUUAUACUGUAUAUGAGAGUCUUCCAUGGACCUGGAAGUCGACUAAACCAUGAUAUUGUGGGAUCCUGGGAGAGGACAUUUAUAGCAGAAAUAUGAGUAUUCAGUGCAUGCAUAGCUUGGAUUAUAUCGUGAGAAUAAUCUGGUGUAUUUAUGCACCAUUCAGUCUUAAUGCACAAGUGUCCCACUGGGCUGCAGUUAGGAUAUCUAAGGCCAUGGGGUUCUAUACAGCCACUUGUCUAAUCUGCGAGUGUUUUCAGUGAGAAGGGUAAUGUUGGGUUAGGUGUUAUUACAGGCAGCAGCUCUAUACUUAGGUUAUCUACUUAUAAUUCUACAUCUAUGUUUGCUGUCUGGGAGGAAAAGACAGCUAGUGAGUAGAACCAACAGGGUGCCCAUUUUUGAUGGUGUUGUCUGUCCUUCACAUUUUCCCAGUCGUCAGGGAGAGAGUCCAGAUGGGACAGGAUGUGUCCUGGUAGGUAAGGGCACCCCAGGUGUAUCUGCCGGUCCAGCUGUAAGGUAAGUAAGACCAGCUAUGACUGCCUCAGACCCAUAGCUAACUCCAGGAGAAAGGAUAGGCCCCACCAUGUAGCUUGAUACUAUUUUGCCAUCCUAGCCACAUAUGAUUAGUCAGUUGAUGGGUUUGGCCACAUUACUAAGAGGUAACCAUCCCUUAGCCUGGCUGCUAGUGUGGGGUGUGUUGCUCUUGUGUUUUUGGAUGUGUAGAGGUGCAUGACCCAUUGCCUGAAUUUGCACCAUCAUCAGCCAUCCUAUGUUGUCAUGUACAGCAUAGUCUAUAGAGGGGGUGAUAUUAACCUGCUUAUGAGCCAGAUGGAAGAUAUGUUUCCAGGUUUCCCCAAAAGUGGAGCACUCAUGGUGAGUGGUACUGUAGUCAUA
Molecule: long non-coding RNA, 6981 nt
Organism: Homo sapiens (human)
Lineage: Eukaryota; Metazoa; Chordata; Mammalia; Primates; Hominidae
Gene: PWRN1
Product: Prader-Willi region non-protein coding RNA 1
Exons: 13
Source: RefSeq, marked reviewed